This 2563-nucleotide unclassified non-coding RNA is filed under the name Leishmania donovani. RNAcentral describes it as "gene:LdHU3.26.3490(CDS-product:hypothetical_prote in_conserved)". Lineage: Eukaryota; Euglenozoa; Kinetoplastea; Trypanosomatida; Trypanosomatidae. The record is from RNAcentral.
CCCAACACACAGUCAGAGCAGCACAGGCACACCUACACACACCCGGCUCCGACGUCCGACGGAAGGCUUGACGCUCUCUUUGUGUUGUAGGGCGCGCCACACUCAGUCGUCUCCUGCACCCUAUUCACGUCAGCGCCCUUCAAUCGCUUCGGCAGUCGGCGCCCCCCUCUGCUUCCUCUGCGCUUUCUUGUUGCGCGUGUGCCGUGCGUCCGCUCUAGCUGCACCACGCGCGCACACGCAGGCAGAUCCACCCGCACACGCGCACAAAGCGAGGUCAGUGCCAGUGCUCUGUGGGCUCGCACACAACACUGCACGGGCUCAUACGGACAUUACUCGUUCCAAACCACUGCCGGUGUUACGGAGAGCCCCCAACCGUGACGGCGGCCAGCUUCGUAGGGCGAUGACGGAGGAGACCUGUACAACAGACUCGGAGGCGAAGACGCUUCAGCGGCUUGCGGAGCGGUACUACGAAGCGUAUAGGCGAGACCGCGGCAAUGAUAGCACACCAACCGUGGCGUCGUCAUUGAUGCGCAUGAUGGCUGUCAUGGGAGAGCUGUCUACAAUGGCGUUCACGUCCUCGUCAAGCAUGUCGCCUUUUGAAAAAGACGAGGUAUCCCUGCUGAUCGGAAAGCUCAGCAUCUCUGUGGCGAUGAUUGCCGAGGCUUUCCACCUGAACGUGGGGCGGUCUAUCCUCCAGUAUCUCGAAGAGGAGCUUCGCGCGGCCCCGCUGUCGCAGCGCGGUGCGAUCAACAAUGGCUGUGGUACGACCGCAGCGGAGUCCGACGGCACCUCAGCUGGGGCCCCGCCACUGGACGCGCAGGCAUCGGUCUCUGAAGCUCCUGCCCCACCGCCGCCGCCGCCACCGGUAACGGAGAGCAAGCGUUCGGUGGUGCUCGGCGCGACAUCGAAUGACGACUUUUUCGGACACGUCGACGAGCUCGCCAAGUUGCCGCGAGAGCACUUCGAGAAGGCCGGCCUCAAGUGGGUGGUGCCGCUGCCCAACGGGACACUGGAAGAAGUCAUCCCGAACGGGCGUUGGAUAACGGUUCGCUACGAGGAUUUUCCUCACUACCUGGCGCACGUUGCUCGGUACCGAAACGCCCGUGCGAGCCAGCCACAGCCGUCGCCUCCGUCUUCUCAUUCCACGGGUGUGGUGGGCCGGCAGGGAUACAAGGAUCCGACUGCCGAGUACCCGCCUAACCGUGCGCCGGUCGUCUCUGUUGCGGCGUCUAGCGUUCCUUCUAUUUUGGCUCAGGCGCCCGGCUACGACCCCGAUCGCGAGUCGACCCUUUACUCGCCAGGCCACUUCGCGGGUGAUCUCUUCAGCCCCAUGGCACGCGCAUCGGAUGUGCAGACGAUGAGUGUCGUACCACCGGCUGCAAUGGUGACGGAAAUGGGCGGCGGGGCAGCUGGCUUCGAACGGCGUAGCCGCCCCGCUGUCCAGCACAUUGGUCGCCCGUACGAUGUCAGCUCGUUCCACGACAAGGUCAACCUUCUCCGUCGCGGGGCGGUGCCCAGCGCGGCUAUUGCGCAGCUCGGCCUCACCUUCAGUGUACCGGACGGCCAACGUGUUGUCGAGCUCGUCAACGACGGCAUGCAGGUGGAUGUGACAGCCGCCAAUGUGAGCGAGUUCCUGCGUCUACUGGACAGCUAUCCAACAGCGCAGGCUCCGUCUGGCCGGGUGCAUCGCACGAACAGUGUGAGGAAGAUCGACGUAGGCCGCAUCAUCUCCGACGUCCCUGCAACGUUCAGCCCGUCGCACUUUUCACACGGCCUCUUCGCGCCGUACCAGGAGCCGACCUCAUCGGUCUAUGUGGACUACGACAAGUCGGAGCGGAUGCUGCCGCUCUACCUGAAGGAGCAUCACGUGAGCCCUGCCGAUACACGAGGCCUGUACGUGAGCGCUGCACGCUCUGCCGACUACCCCACCUUAGAGCGCAUCGUGCAAGAGGUGAAGGUGAAUCCGUCUGCCUUGACCAAGUACGGUGUUACCUUCAGCGUGCCGAGCUCGCUGGAGCCGUACUCGACGCCAGAGGAGCGGCGCAGUGGUCUCCACGCCUUAUUCCCUUUCUCUGCUUUGCAGCCGGUGCAGCCGGAGGAUCGACUUCACUUUCUUUCUCUCGCUCGUCAGUACUACCCCAAUAUUCUCUGAACGGAAGACGGAGUGACGCUCCUUGCCGUUUCCUCGCUGUCACCGUACAACUAGGCGUGCUCGCGGUUCUGCUAUGCAUGUAAUAUAGACCUGAAACGGGAGCCGGUGGAGGACGGUGGGGGAGAGACAAGUACUCCUUGCCAGUAGGCGGCCGGGCUGCGCGCCAAGGGGAAGGACGAAUAGGACUGUAGCGAUAGCUAAGAUGAGGGUAUGAAACGCAUGUUUGCCUCUCUUCCCCUCUGCGCAGACGUGCAGCUGUUCUCUAGCGUCAUGCGAUGGUGUCGUCAUGCGUGGGAUGUCUCUCUGUCAGUCCGCAUCCUCACUCCCGCACUCUCGCUCUCGCUCGUGCGCCACUCUCGUCACGUUCUGCUGGGGCUUAUGUGCACUUUUUUUUUCGGCCUCUUUGCCCAG